This 72-nucleotide transfer RNA is filed under the name Armatimonadota bacterium. RNAcentral's name for it is "tRNA-Gln". It matches the Rfam family "tRNA". From Rfam's summary of the family: Transfer RNA (tRNA) molecules are approximately 80 nucleotides in length. Their secondary structure includes four short double-helical elements and three loops (D, anti-codon, and T loops). Further hydrogen bonds mediate the characteristic L-shaped molecular structure. tRNAs have two regions of fundamental functional importance: the anti-codon, which is responsible for specific mRNA codon recognition, and the 3' end, to which the tRNAs corresponding amino acid is attached (by aminoacyl-tRNA synthetases). tRNAs cope with the degeneracy of the genetic code in two manners: having more than one tRNA (with a specific anti-codon) for a particular amino acid; and 'wobble' base-pairing, i.e. permitting non-standard base-pairing at the 3rd anti-codon position. Lineage: Bacteria; Bacillati; Armatimonadota. The record is from RNAcentral.
UGCCGGGUCGUCUAAGUGGCAGGACGCGGGACUCUGGAUCCCGUAGUGCUGGUUCGAGUCCAGCCCCGGCAG